RNAcentral lists this ribosomal RNA (784 nucleotides) under uncultured Neocallimastigales. RNAcentral describes it as "partial large subunit ribosomal RNA". It matches the Rfam family "Eukaryotic large subunit ribosomal RNA", at positions 22 to 610 of the family's 3401-position model. The record is from RNAcentral. Lineage: Eukaryota; Fungi; Neocallimastigomycota; Neocallimastigomycetes; Neocallimastigales.
AUAUACAUGACUCUGCGCAUAUCAAUAAGCGGAGGAAAAGAAACUAACAAGGAUUCCCUUAGUAACGGCGAGUGAAGCGGGAAGAGCUCAAAUUUGAAAUCUUCAAGGUUCUACCUUGACGAAUUGUAGUUUAUAGAAGUGUUUUCUGUUAGUAGAGUGGCAAAAGUUCUUUGGAAUAGGACAUCAUAGAGGGUGAGAAUCCCGUAUUUGGUCAUUCCUUCCUAGCGUUGUGAUACACUUUCAACGAGUCGGAUUGUUUGGGAAUGCAGUCCAAAAUGGGUGGUAAAUUUCAUCUAAAGCUAAAUAUUGGCGAGAGACCGAUAGCGAACAAGUACCGUGAGGGAAAGAUGAAAAGAACUUUGAAAAGAGAGUUAAACAGUACGUGAAAUUGUCAAAAGGGAAGCGUUUGACACCAGUGUUGUUUUUCUCGAAAAUCAAUUACGAAAUGGUUUGAUUUUUGAGUAGUUAUGACCUUCAAUCGCUUUCUCACUUUCUUUAUGUACUUUCUUAAUGCACUUUUCGUUUAACAAGUCAACAAUCAGUUUCUUUUGUUGUAAAAGGGUCAUGAGGAAGGUGGCUUUCUUUUCGGAGAAAGUGUUUAUAGCCUUGUGCCUCUGCAAUCGGAGAGAUUGAGGUCUGCAGCGUAGACUCCUUCGGGGUUAGAUACAUUUGUGCUAAGUUAUAGCUUUUUCAUAGACAACUUGUUGACUAUAUUUAGUCUUGUAGGCUUACUCGCUAUGCCUAUUUUACCUACGCUUAGGAUGUUGAUAGUCACAGCGUGUAC